AUUGAACGCUGGCGGCAGGCUUAACACACGCAAGUCGAGCGGGGUGAUGGUGCUUGCACUAUCACUUAGCGGCGGACGGGUGAGUAAUGCUUAGGAAUCUGCCUAUUAGUGGGGGACAACAUCUCGAAAGGGAUGCUAAUACCGCAUACGUCCUACGGGAGAAAGCAGGGGAUCACUUGUGACCUUGCGCUAAUAGAUGAGCCUAGGUCGGAUUAGCUAGUUGGUGGGGUAAAGGCCUACCAAGGCGACGAUCUGUAGCGGGUCUGAGAGGAUGAUCCGCCACACUGGGACUGAGACACGGCCCAGACUCCUACGGGAGGCAGCAGUGGGGAAGAUUGGACAAUGGGGGGAACCCUGAUCCAGCCAUGCCGCGUGUGUGAAGAAGGCCUUAAGGUUGUAAAGCACUUUAAGCGAGGAGGAGGCUCUUUUGGUUAAUACCCAAGAUGAGUGGGCGUUACUCGCAGAAUAAGCACCGGCCAACUCUGUGCCAGCAGCCGCAGUAA
This 503-nucleotide ribosomal RNA is filed under the name uncultured bacterium. RNAcentral describes it as "partial 16S ribosomal RNA". It matches the Rfam family "Bacterial small subunit ribosomal RNA", at positions 30 to 523 of the family's 1533-position model. The record is from RNAcentral.